GUGAAUCAUCAAAUCUUUGAACGCAAAUUGCACUCCCUGGUAUUCCGGGGAGUAUGCCUGUUUGAGGGUCGUUAGAAUAAAAAAUCGAGGCGUUGUUCUUUUUUUCAAGGGUGAUCGCGUCGGAAGGGAGCAGCUUUAAAAAAGUUAAUUCAUGCAAAUGGGGUUUAAAAUUCACCAAUCCGGUACGAUUAAAGCGUAUUUAAGAUCAAUUUUGAUUAAGAACGCGCGAUGACGUACCAUCGCAUGUAGAACGUUUGAC
Molecule: unclassified non-coding RNA, 259 nt
Filed under: Glomeraceae sp.
Lineage: Eukaryota; Fungi; Glomeromycota; Glomeromycetes; Glomerales; Glomeraceae
Description: partial contains 5.8S ribosomal RNA and internal transcribed spacer 2
Rfam family: 5.8S ribosomal RNA (bases 1-71)
Source: RNAcentral